GACGAACGCUGGCGGCGUGCUUAACACAUGCAAGUCGAACGGAAAGGCCCUUCGGGGUACUCGAGUGGCGAACGGGUGAGUAACACGUGGGUGAUCUGCCCUGCACUUUGGGAUAAGCCUGGGAAACUGGGUCUAAUACCGAAUAGGACCGCAUGCUUCAUGGUGUGUGGUGGAAAGCUUUUGCGGUGUGGGAUGGGCCCGCGGCCUAUCAGCUUGUUGGUGGGGUAAUGGCCUACCAAGGCGACGACGGGUAGCCGGCCUGAGAGGGUGACCGGCCACACUGGGACUUGGAUACGGCCCAGACUCCUACGGGAGGCAGCAGUGGGGAAUAUUGCACAAUGGGCGCAAGCCUGAUGCAGCGACGCCGCGUGAGGGAUGACGGCCUUCGGGUUGUAAACCUCUUUCAGCAGGGACGAAGCGCAAGUGACGGUACCUGCAGAAGAAGGACCGGCCAACUACGUGCCAGCCGCCGCCGUAA
This 478-nucleotide ribosomal RNA is filed under the name uncultured bacterium. Its description in RNAcentral is "partial 16S ribosomal RNA". It matches the Rfam family "Bacterial small subunit ribosomal RNA", at positions 28 to 523 of the family's 1533-position model. The record is from RNAcentral.